AAAGUGGCCGCCGCCGGCCAACGGGCUUUUUUUUUCGGGUAAGCUUUCCUCUUCGUGUUGCUGUUUCUGCCGCUGCUGCCUUUUUUUUUGCCGCUCGCGCCCCCGCUCCGGUCUGUGGUGCCGCCGGGACCCAGGACCAUGUCGCUGACUCGCUCAGAGGAGAUGCACCGGCUCACGGAAAAUGUCUACAAGACCAUCAUGGAGCAGUUCAACCCUAGCCUCCGGAACUUCAUCGCCAUGGGGAAGAAUUACGAGAAGGCGCUGGCAGGUGUGACGUACGCAGCCAAAGGCUACUUUGAUGCCCUGGUGAAGAUGGGGGAGCUGGCCAGCGAGAGCCAGGGCUCCAAAGAACUCGGAGACGUUCUUUUCCAGAUGGCUGAAGUCCACAGGCAGAUCCAGAAUCAGCUGGAAGAAAUGCUGAAGUCUUUUCACAACGAGCUGCUCACGCAGCUGGAGCAGAAGGUGGAGCUGGACUCCAGGUACCUGAGUGCUGCGCUGAAGAAAUACCAGACUGAGCAAAGGAGCAAAGGUGACGCCCUGGAUAAGUGUCAGGCUGAGCUGAAAAAGCUUCGGAAGAAGAGCCAGGGCAGCAAGAAUCCUCAGAAGUACUCGGACAAGGAGCUGCAGUACAUCGAUGCCAUCAGCAACAAGCAGGGCGAGCUAGAGAAUUACGUGUCCGACGGCUACAAGACCGCGCUGACGGAGGAGCGCAGACGCUUCUGCUUCCUGGUGGAGAAGCAGUGCGCUGUGGCCAAGAACUCCGCGGCGUACCACUCCAAGGGCAAGGAGCUGCUGGCACAGAAGCUGCCGCUGUGGCAACAGGCCUGCGCUGACCCCAGCAAGAUCCCAGAGCGCGCCGUGCAGCUGAUGCAGCAGGCAGCCAGCAAUGGCGCCACCCUCCCCAGCGCCCUGUCGGCCUCCAAGUCCAAUCUGGUCAUUUCAGACCCCAUUCCGGGGGCCAAGCCCCUGCCGGUGCCCCCUGAGCUGGCACCGUUUGUGGGGCGGAUGUCUGCCCAGGACAGCACGCCCAUCAUGAACGGCGUCGCAGGCCCGGAUGGCGAGGACUACAGCCCGUGGGCUGACCGCAAGGCUGCCCAGCCCAAAUCCCUGUCUCCUCCGCAGCCUCAGAGCAAGCUCAGCGACUCCUACUCCAACACGCUCCCCGUGCGCAAGAGCGUGACCCCGAAAAACAGCUACGCCGCCACUGAGAACAAGACUCUGCCUCGCUCGAGCUCCAUGGCAGCCGGCCUGGAGCGCAACGGCCGCAUGCGGGUGAAGGCCAUCUUCUCCCACGCUGCCGGAGACAACAGCACCCUCCUGAGCUUCAAGGAGGGUGACCUCAUUACCCUGCUGGUGCCUGAGGCCCGCGAUGGCUGGCACUACGGAGAGAGUGAGAAGACCAAGAUGCGGGGCUGGUUUCCCUUCUCCUACACCCGGGUCCUGGACAGCGACGGCAGUGACAGGCUGCAUAUGAGCCUGCAGCAAGGGAAGAGCAGCAGCACCGGCAACCUCCUGGACAAGGACGACCUGGCCAUCCCGCCCCCCGACUACGGCGCCGCCUCCCGGGCCUUCCCCGCCCAGACGACCAGCGGCUUCAAGCAGAGGCCCUACAGUGUGGCUGUGCCCGCCUUCUCCCAGGGCCUGGAUGACUAUGGAGCGCGGUCCAUGAGCAGUGGCAGCGGCACGCUGGUGUCCACAGUGUGAGGACGCUGACCCCGGGCAGCCGCUGCUCUGAAGAGCUUCCGCGCCUUCCCCCUGGUCUCCGUCCGUUUUCCUCCUCAGCUCUCGCUGGUUUGUUCCUGGGUUUUCUUUUCCACCUGCCCCUGCCUUUUGGUUGGUGACCCCAGACUCUGUGAUCCCCCAGGGUCCAUGGUGCUGCUCCAUCCGCCUCCCCCCCCCAGUGUUUACGCGCCCCACCCUGUGUGUCCCAGCCUUUCGAGCAGAAACUGCCAGGCAGGACCUGCUGGGCCGUGCGGGGGCACCCUCGGCCCCACCCUGCAGUGUCUGUGGCACUCACUGCUUUUCUAAGGCUCGCCGUGAGCCAGGUCUAAAGUUUGGAGAAAAAGAAAAAUCUUUAAAAAAAAAAAAGCAAAAAACAAAAAACAGGAAAAAGGACUUUUUUUUUUCCUGAAAAACAAAAACCGAUCUGCAUGGACUCCGGUGUGCGCUGUUAUCUCGCAUCCGACUUUCCCAGCGCAAAGGCCUCUGUCCAGACAGGGAAGGUGCUGGGGUCCCUGGUCACCCCGGACCCUGUGGAGGGCUGCACAGAGAAAGGGGGCUCGUGCCAAGCUCGAGGGGCCUCCUGAGGAAGCCGGCCGCUCCUGUGAGGGAGGCCGGGCCCGGGCACCUGAGGGCUUCUCCCUCCGGACGCUGCGGGCCAAGUGUACAUAGAGCAGCGUGGCAGAGUGGCCUCGCCUCCCGUCGGGCACCGGCAGGAGCAAGGUCGGGGGCAGGCGCUGCCCGGCUGGCCGCACACGGACACUCCAAAGACCUCCAGCGACCACCCCACCCCCACAUUCCUUUGACCAGCCUUGUGAGGGCAUCAAGGCUGCCCCGGGCUACCUGGCUGCUCGGGGCAGGGUGUGUGGGCCAGGCCCGGCCGGGGGAGGGCAGCUCUGGGCACGUCGCACCCACACCCCCCACCUGGGGGAGACAGGCGGUUCCUGCCUGGUUCUUCCUAAACGCUCUCGUCUUUUUGUGUGUCUUGGUGACUUUAGAAACAAACACAGUGGACUCAGUGGCUACUGGUAUUCUCUUCACACACUGAACUCUGGGGAAUUGAGUGCAGGGCACAGCCCGGCUCAGCCUGCCUGCUGGUGGGGGCCCCUGGGAAGCUGCGACGCUCCUUUAUCUGAUGUGGUUUAGCAAAAGCCUCCCGCACACCUCCCCGUGGCCUGGGGUGUGGCCUGGUUUGUGUGGGAAGCAGCUCCAGACGCGGACCGCCUGAGGUUAAGGGGAACUCGAGGGCGGACCGGGCCCUAUGUAGAGACCCCUCUGCGCCGGCGUUCCCGCUCUGCUAAAGAUUUCAAAUCCAGGGGAUUCCAUGCUCAAUGGAUGAAUGUAGACACAAAACAGCAACACUUGUAUGAAGAUGUAAAGUGCUGAACAUAUUUUUUUCCUGUUUCCUUUCCUUUUUUAAAAAAUCUGAAUUGUGCCCUGUACUGCAGUUACUUGUUGGAAUAAAAGUUUUAUUUAUUGCACGAGUUGGGUAUGGACCUCCUUCCGGUUCCCGGCGUGCGUCUGGGCCGUGGGGGCCCCGCCUCGUGCCUGCCUCUGCCAGGUAUUUUCUUGGCACUCAGUCGCCUGCUAGAUCACCUGGGCUUGCACAGAGUGCUGGCCCAGUGACAGUCACUCACUGUGCCGGGGCUCUGCGGGGGCCCCGCCGCCCCAGGGGAAAGUGCGGGGCCACCUGCGGCUGAGGCAGGCUUCUGGCUCUCUCCAGGCCGGCAAGUGAGGCCGGGUCCGCAGGCGCCGUCCAGGGAGAGCCAGAGCCCCAGCUCUGUGCCGACUCCCAAGUGCUCCAGGGUUCUCGGUCUCCUGGCAGCUCGCCCGUGGUUCCCCCUCCUCUGCAACCCCGAGUCCUCCGACCUCAUGCUGCCUCCAACUGAGCCUUGUGUUUCCUUGCAGCGCCGAUGUGGAAGUGGCCAGAUUCUGAGCCGCCUGACUAGAGUUAGAAUCCCUUCGCCCAUGUCCAGCUGAAGCCGACAGUGACCAACGACAGGUCUGCCCCUCUCCUCAGCUGAUGGCCACAUCUGCGGCGCUGCCCAUCCGGCGGCUUCCCCCGCUCUGCCCAUGCAGCCUGUUCUGUCAUCCUCUGUGCGUUUCUGUUAAGAGAACAUCCAGGCCCCAGAUGCCUGGCCUUGCCCCACUUGAGUCUGGCCUGGGCUGGAUCCCAGCUGUUCUGGGCAGGGCUGGGCACAGGGGGGUGCAGGCCCCUGAAGGGCCGAGACCCACUGGCUGCGCUGCCCGGGGCCGAGGGACCACCUCUUGAGGGUAUACACCUCUGGUCACAUGGCCAUGGAGCCCUUGGGUGCCCCUGGGUCAAGGGAGGACAUGUGGCCAGCUGGUGGCUGGGAGGGGAGCCCGGCUGCCCUGCUGCUUCUCCUGCCUAAUAAACAGGCUCCUUCUGCA
RNA transcript from Cercocebus atys (sooty mangabey), 4131 nucleotides. It is a transcript of the gene named BAI1-associated protein 2, with no coding region annotated. NCBI's taxonomy places the organism in Eukaryota, Metazoa, Chordata, Mammalia, Primates, Cercopithecidae. The transcript has 15 exons. The record is from RefSeq and is a predicted model, not a curated record.